Callithrix jacchus (white-tufted-ear marmoset) is the source of this 8439-nucleotide non-coding RNA. NCBI's taxonomy places the organism in Eukaryota, Metazoa, Chordata, Mammalia, Primates, Cebidae. The record is from RefSeq and is a predicted model, not a curated record.
UUCAUUUAUCUAUGGCCUUUGGAUGAUUUAGGAAAGCAAUUUUUGUUUGUUGAGACGGAGUCUUGCUGUAUUGCCAGGCUGGAAUGUAGUGGCAUGAUCUCGGCUCACUGCAACCUCUGCCCUCUGGGUUCAAGUGAUUCUUCUGCUUCAGCCUCCCAAGUAGCUGGGAUUACAGGCACACCCCACCACACCCAGCUAAUUUUUGUAUUUGUAGUAGACAGGGGUUUCACCAUAUUGGGCAGGCUGGUCACGAUCUCUUGACCUCAUGAUCUGCUCACCUCGGCCUCCCAAUGUGCUGAAAUUACAGGCAGAAAACAUUCUUUAGAAAAAAGCCAAGUGAGUUUAUCUGGUAUUUCCUGUCUCAUAAUUUUUUUUGGUACUAUCUUUUGGAGGAGCUCUCAGGAAUCUGAAGAAAGUAAAAAUAUCCUUUUACAUUUUUUUCUUACUUCGACUUGAUAAUGUUUCUUAUCUCUUUUCCUGAUGAAAUAUAUGGAAAUAUUGGUAAAAGUACAUCAUGGUCUGAAAUAAUGUGAAUGGUCUGGAGAUGACUCAAGGACAAGGAUCUUGAGACAGAAGUCUACAUUCCCUAAAAGUAAUGACACCGUGUCUUUGAACAAGGCCAAGAGAGAAUCUAAUUUAUUGAAAAGGAACAUACCUAUUUCUUUCUUUUGAACAGUGGCUUUUAAAUAUUUUUUCCCCUACCACAACUUACAGUAAGAAAUACCUUUUACAUUAUGACCUGAUACACACACAUGCAUGGUGUAUACGUGUCUAAAAUAAUAGUUUCACGGAAUGAAGCUUACCCUUAUUCUAUUUGAUGUGCUCUGAAAUGUUCCAUUCUACUCUAUUUAACUUUUUAAAAUGCUGUUUGAGACCAUUAUAUUGAUUUUAUGUUCCACACUUCAAAGAUCACUGCUUUAGGGUUUUACUUAUGCUUUUCUGAAUGGCAAGCCUUCUUAAGAUGGUCUUAAAAGCACUUAAUUUGGUCCUGUUUUCUUUUCUGGGAUAUUCUGUAUCUCUAAAUACAAAUAUGAAAAGGAGUUUAUUAGGUACGGUGGAAGUAUAUUGAGAAAAAUCAAUUUAUGAUUGGCUUGGCUAAUUUAUCUGCCACACAAUAUAAGGAAACUUUCACUAUCUUUUACAUUCCUGGCACAUUCAAAUUCUUUCAUUCCUUUCUGUUCCUUUCUUAUUUUUACCAAAGACUGAUUUCCAGUUGUUAUUAGGCAUAACAGACUUAUUAAAGGGAAGGGAGGAGACUAACAUUUAAUAAGCGCCAAUUAUGUACAAGGUACUUUGCACACAUUAUUUCUUCCCAAUAACUACUCAUGGUAUUCUUUAUUCAUAUUUUUAUUGCAUAUAUUAUUUCUUCCCAAUAAUGACUCAUGGCAUUUUUUAUUCAUACUUUUAAGCUUAUAAGAAAACAGGGAUUUAGAGAGAUAAAGUAACUUGUCCAGGGUCGAAAAGUUCAAAAGCUAGUUUGUGGUAGAGCUGGUCCCCAAACUGAGGCCUGCAUAGCACCAAAAUCACUGCAACAUAUUUUCCUGAUGUCAACAUAAAAAUUACAAAAUGAAACAAAAAGAACAAUUGGAACUUAUGUUUUUAAUCUGCUAACUUUAGGAAGGCAUGUGUAUAUACUUCUCUUUGAAUUGUUGUUGCUGUUAGAGUCUUAUAUAUUUACCAGUCAUUAUACAGAACAUAUGUUGAACUACCCAACAUGUAUUAUGUGUAUACAGUCUCCCCAGCACACUAUUUAUUCAUUUAGAGUACUCCAGAUAACCUACUUACAUAAUUUUCCCCAAAAGGAUUCCAUGUUUUCUUUUGGCUUUACAAAGACACUCAGGAUUCUAAGUUAUUUGCAUUACAACAUUUACCAGUAUUAGCCCCCUCAAUAUUGAAGAGAAAAUCAAAAUAAAAUGCUUUCCUUCAUAACCUUUAGUUCUAAGCAGAGCCCAUUAGAGACUUUAAAAUAUUCACUUUUGAAGCUGAUUCUUGCAUUGGUAAACACUUUGCAUGACAUUAAAUACGCUUUGCCUGUUCUAGGAGACAGAGUGGAUUAAAUUACUUGGCUGAAGUGACAGGAAUAAAGAACAGAAUACAUCCACUCCUCCAGUCUCAUUAAGUUGCCUCUUUCUCCUGAAAUUGGAUUGGGAUUCCAGGACACCUCUCAACCUACAGGAAACACUGGAUCUAAAGCUGAAACAGGCAGGGACAACUAUAAAACAGCAUCAGUAUACUGGAACACACAGCUAUCCCUGUGUUAGGACAGAAUUAGAAGUACACCUGGUGCUUUCUCUUCAGAGGAAAGUGAAGUGGUGAGAGAAUGAAAUUUCAGGUAUCAGCUUGCACAUCACCAUUAACAGUGAAUAUCAAGUGUUUCCUCAUAGAGGUUGCAUGGUGGUAUUGAUGGAGAUGAACUCCAGUGCAGUAAGUAGGCAAAAGGUGAGAUUACCAUCAUACACAGGAUGCCACGAUGUCACAGUGGAACCAUCAGUGUUAUUUCUGAGUAAUAUCUUCAGUGGUGGUGAUGUCUUUCUUAAAUUUAGAUAGUCCUUCUAUUACCUCUCUAACUCACCCCAGGCUGGUUGACAUAUAAACGUUGCUUAGGAUCCAAAAGAUCCUGUGAAAAAUAUGAACAGUUUAACUGUGGUCUCCUCUCAUUAACUGUGAGCCUCUGUGAUUCUCAGGUUAGGGUGGAAGAUCCUCUAGGAUAGAAUGCUCUUCUGGAGAUGAAUUGAUUUGUGUUUUUGACUCCAUAUGAGAAGGGACAUGCCAGAUAACCAACUUUGGAACUCACAUUUAGGAAGAAGGGAGAAGAGGAAGUCCUGGUGGCACUGAAGUGAGCUCCACUUCCAGAAGUAGGUGCAGGCUACUUCCAGAGGUAGGUGCAGGCUACUUCCAGAGGUAGGUGCAGGCUACUUCCAGAGGUAGGUGCAGGACACACGGUCUUGCAGUGAUGGUAAGAUGGAGGCCUGUGUGCCCAGCAAUGACAGAGCACAGGCAACAUAGAAGCUGCCUCUUGAAAAAAGUUGUUUUUCACCCCUAAAAAGGAGGUCUCAUCAGGCAACUUAUGUUUUAGGUUAGAAAAUUGAAAGUUAUAUAAACCCUGAGUAUAGAUUCCUGAAAGGAAGAGAGGUCAUUGGGGAAGCUAAGGAAGAAAAGCUGUAGGGAACUUCUGGCUAAGAUUGAAAUGGAUGCAGCUGCAUCUCUGAAAGGACUGCAGAGGCCUGAAUGGGAAUCUGGAUAGUGAGGCAGUAUUUCAGAGUGACCAAGAAUCUUCCAUGGGACCACAAAGGGCAGAUUCACAGUAGCAACAUGGCAGGAGUGUGAAAAACGUCUUAGAUGUUUAAAUUGUACUGACUUUUUUUGACUUACAUAAGACCCAGGAUUUGGGGGGAUGAUUUAUAAAGACAAAAUAUAUAGUUUUCUGUUGCUGUGAUAACCAGUUACCACAAACUUAGUGGCUUAAAACAAUACAAAUUUGUUAUCUUACAAAUCUGUAGGUUUGAAGAUUGAAAUGGGUCUCUUAGGGCUAAAAUAGAGGCAUUGUUAGGGCCACAUCCCUCUGCAGACUCUAGAGGAGAAUCUGUUUCUUUGCCUUUCCAGCAAUUGAGGACUGUCCACAUAUCUUGCUGGUGACCCCUUCCUUCAGCAGUGAGGUACGUCCUUCCUACAUGGCUGCCCCUCUGGUUCUUUUUCUUCUGCCUCUCUUCCACUCAUAAGAACACUGGUGAUUAUGUUGAGCUCACUUGGAUAUUUCUCCCAUUUUUACGUCAGCUGGUAACCAAACUUAAAGUCAUUUGCAACCUUAAUUCUCCUUUGCCAUGAGACCUAACAUUCACAGGUUCCAGGGAUUAGGAAACACAUCUACUGGGAGGGCCCCUAUUCUGCCUACCACACACAGCAAGCCAAACAGGGAGGUAUGGAAUUUCCUGAUACUACUGUAGGUAGAUAAGAGUGCAAGCAGGCUAAGGAAUGGAUUCAGCCCUGGUUCCAAACACUGGCUGCAUAUAUACUCAUGUGAAAGCCUUAAAAACACAAAUGGCCAGGUUACACCGUCAGACAUUCUAAUCUAAUGGGUUUGGUAUGGGUUCCAGACAUUGUAAUGUUGGGAUACAUAGAACCGGAUGACCUCGAUGAUUUUUAUGUGCAGGCAGGAUUGAGAAUCAGUGAUUUAGGAUGAGGAAGUCAAUAUCUUAACCCUAGAAAGUGAGGACAGAAAUCCAGCACUCAUGUUCUAGAAUUCUGUUCUUUUCUAAUUUCCAUCAGGUAUUUUAGUUACAUAUCCUGUUCUGCUUCUUUAAUUUAUCUCUAGCUAUCAAAUUUAAUAUAUGAGCUUUCAGUAUUCCUAGAAGUAAAGAAAUAUAUACUUGGAAAAAUAUUUUUAAUUGCACUUUAUACAUUUUAAUUUACUCCUGAUUUGUCUAAACUUGUUUUCUAAAAAUUAUUUUAACCAAAAAACUAUAUCAUUGAGUUCAUCAUUAAGAGUUUAUUUCAUGAUCUAGAUCUAGCUCAUUUGUAAUGAAGAGUUAAAUUAUGUUUCAUUCACCUUAAUGAAAUCUAUUUUCUUGCAGCUUCACUCUACAGUGUUUACUUCAUAAACACUUCAUGGUAUCUGAAUCGGUUUAUGCAUUUUCUAUUUUGUUACUUUUCUUAUUUUAUUUCGUUCUUGCAUAUAAAAUUGUUGGCAGUUGCCAUGGCAAUUCUAAUUGAUUUCUUUCUGCUGUUUUGCAGGCUUUUAAAAAGAUUUGCACAAUACAUCCUUCAUAUUGUUAUUUUUAUCUCUGUAAAUUUGUAAUGGCCUCUAAAAAAAAAGCUGUGUAACAAGAGUAUCAGAUGUUACUUUGCUCACUGUUGAGGGCUGUGAAGAACAGAAGAAAACUAAGGAAGAAAACAAAACUGGGAAGGGCAAUGAAGGAAUGGGUUAGCGUUCAAAAGUAAAGUGUGUUCCACACAAAAGAAAGAGUUCAGGUACCUGAGUCAGCGGCAAUGCAAGGACAAGAGAUGGGCUUUUAGAGAGAAUUGAGCUUGUCAAUGUGACUCAGCUCUGGAAGACCAAAAAAUUAUGGAGGGAGAGGUAGGAAAGGGAAACUGGGUGAAAUGUUAUCAUUUUCUUUGUUUAUCUUCUGGUGUAUCUCAAAACCUUCUGUUAUUCACACACAAACACACACAUGCACACACACAAGCAUGCACUCAUGGAAUGCAUCAGCAUAUCUAUUGUCAAAAUCAGCUCACAGUCUCAUUUCAGUAAAGCAGAGAUGUGACUCCUCACAAGAUGCUGUGUUGUUGAUUAACUGCCUUCUUUUAGGAGUUGAGGUACAAUGCCGUUUUCAGUCCUAGAGAUAAUGAGAAAAAGAAGAAAAUCUCUUGGGGAUCUGAAAUGAAUUCGAUUUGGUUUACUUUCACUGUAAAACUCCAGAAAAUUUACAUUGCUUUUUACUUAUGGCAUAUAUUUUUUUUCCAAAAGUUAAUUGCAACAAACUGCAAACAAACACAUUAAGGUAAAAUAACAAAUAACUCUUCUAGAGUAGAAUGGGGGUAAAUUUUAGACACAGAUGUGUGCACUAAGAUGUCUGCCCAAUGAUCAAAAUUUAGUUGAGAAUUUGCCUUUGAGAUUCCCACUGGCCAAAGUGAAGAGAAAAGCAUGAUCAGAAACAAGACUCAAAGUGCCUGGAAGGAAGCAUUUGUCAGGUACACUGGAGAAAACACAAUAUUCCCAAGAAUUGAGAUGAAAGAAAUUUCUCCAAGGAGGGGAUAUUUUAAUAUAAUAGAUAAUGGUCUCAGCAACAUCCCUGCAGUAUGAAAUAGUAUGUUUCACACAGCCACUUUUAAACAUUUUUUCACCAAAUGAAGGGCAUAAUGUUGGUACACGACUGAGAAACAGCUAUUUAAUGAGGGUGAAAGAUCUGAAGACCAAAUAUUCUGCUCUUGGGUUACCUCAGUGAUUAGAGAGUGAUUCUAUGUGGACAGGACUAUGCAGCUAGCAUGCCUAUUUUAGAGAACACUUGUGCCUCAUCCCAUUGCAUGGCAAAAUCAAGAGAUUUGGUGAGGCCGUACCCUAUAAACCAUUUCAGAUUCUCAACUUUACAGCAAAGAAACAUCACCUCAUCCUCAUCCACUCAGAUGAAAAAAGAUUUCAGUGAUAGUAAAAAUGAUUUAUCUGAGGAACCAUUAUAAAAAUUACAUUACACAGGCUUAUGUGAAAUAUUCAAAAGCUUUGAAAAAUAAAUGCCUAGAAUAAUCCCCUAUAAACCUUUUAGACAGAUUACUAUGACCCUAUUCUUCUGGUACAAACAUAAAUGUGUUUCUGAUAAAUGUAUUUUAUUAUGUUUUGAUUCAUAUGACCACCCUAUUAUAAAUUCAGGAUGGUUAAAAGCAAACUUUAAGAUUGCUCUCUUCCUCUGGCAGUCAGGACAAGGUUUAUUAAACCAAAAACAUAUGUUUAAAUUUAGUUCCACAUGUGCCAACUAGCUAUUGACUGAGCACUGACAUGUGUUUGAGCUCUAGGGAUCUCAAAUCUCUCUGCCUCUCUCCUCAGUUCUCCCACACCACGCAUCACACACACACACACACACACACACACACACACACACACACACACACAAACCCCACAUUGAAAAUUCACAUAUUUAGUAGGUAACAGGAACCUAGUAUUCAGAGCAAACACUUUCCUUGAUGAAAGAAAACAGUAUGGAAUACUGUACCCAGCACUUUACCGGCGGGUGGGGCACUAAUGAAUGAUUCUUGGCAAAUUCUGAAUACCCUUUGAGCUCGUCUUGUUCAUUAGCAAAUUGUUUUUCUUUGACUGUUUCUCAGUUAAGUACAUGACAUACUAAAAAUAGUGAUUUUCUCAAUCAGUUGCUUCCUAGGUAAGUAAACAUUCCACUGGUGGAAUACCGUUAGCAAAUUACAGUGGGAAUACAGCUUUGAAAACUAUCUAGUUUUGUUUCUCUUGGUUACUAAACCCUGGGUCAGGUGGCCUUGAUAACAUGCUUUGCAGGCCACAAUGACGGGGAGCAAUUUGACCAAGGGCCCCAGCUAGGACAUUCUGAAAUUCAACCGCACACCUGUGAGUUGUGCCUGGCCAUGUUUCCCAGGGUGAUUGCAGUCAUGGGCUUCACUGAGCAGGGAUGCUGAGGCAGGCUCAUUCCUGGGAGACAUAGGACUCCCCAACAGCCUUGCUACUCAGAUGCUUCUAUUCAACCUUUCCUUUUUCUUUCCCCCUACACCCAGUGCCAGACUUGCAUACAGUCUCCCAUUUUCUCUCACAGAGAUGGCCCUUUGCUUGUUUCCUUCUGUCUUAGCAUCUAUGUCCUGAAGGACCAAGGCUGACAUAAUACACUCUGUUUAGUUUUAAAGGGAAGUUGUUUGCCUACACUUAAGGAACUGCAUCUCCACACACUCAAGGAAUGUGGCUCUAACUUAGUCUUCUGCUGAAAAUGCGUAACAUUACCAAGCAGAUGUGGACUCUGGAUUGAGAUAGACUAAAAUUCCUUAUAAAUGAUUUUUCAAAAUAAAUUCCUAAUUCAUUCUCUUCUCCAAGAAGCCACAGUGCUUACUCUAAUCCUAAAGUCAUCAAUAGACAAUCCAUCCUUUCCAAUAAUGCUGAGAUUUUGUUUUCUAGAAUCCCACAUUCAGAUAAAUCAUGCCUAUAAAUUGUGUCAAUUAGAGUAUGUGUCAAUUAGAAUGUAUUUUGUGGCCUAAACCUCAACCUUUCACUUUAUUGGCAAUACUGGCAAUAUAUAGCUUUAUCUUGUUGCCUAGGUAACAGAUCCAUCCUGAACUAAUGUGGAUAUGUCAGUAUAAGUUGAAGACCGCUCAAGGAAAUGCAGCCCUUUUGGGUUCUCUGAAGGUCACUUUUCCUUGGACUGACUUUCCUCAUAGUCCCACACCCAGAAGCAAAAAUGAGCCAUCUCUUUUGUCUUUUCAAAGAUUGGAGAUACCUUUUCCAGAAAUCCUCCCAACAGCCUUGCCCUCAUGUUUCAAGGCCAGACUCCUUUUACCUGAGCAGAUCUGCAGCCAGUUUAUUGGCAAGUUGAGUAAGACUGAUGUGAUUAGCUGACACCAAUCAAGACCUACCCUCUGCAAUGUGGCCGUACCCAGGAGGAAGCACACCUGAAAAAAAGACAAUAUUCUCAUUGGAAGAAGCAAGCACAGAAAGGAGGUGGUAUUGGGGAAUAGGUAUUGCAUAGGCUACCAGCAAUGCCAGCUGAAACAUGAACAUGAUGGAUCCAUGAUGCAGCAAAUUAUCUGCCCCAUAAGGGUUUCAACUUGAAGUCUGUAAAUUUGUUUUGAUAAUCUUAUCAUUCUCACUUGUUAGCCUUUUAAAAUUUCAGGUUGAAGGCAGCCUAAAUAUUACAACAUUUUCAAGUUUUGGUGAUUAUUGUCUGACAUUUAAAACUAGCUAGACAUAAUAAUAUAUUAAAUUAAAGAGAUUUUAGU